This 707-nucleotide long non-coding RNA is filed under the name Populus trichocarpa (black cottonwood). Its description in RNAcentral is "long non-coding RNA (PTRI_LNC001288)". Lineage: Eukaryota; Viridiplantae; Streptophyta; Magnoliopsida; Malpighiales; Salicaceae. The record is from RNAcentral.
CUUCCCACCAAAGCCUUUUCCUCCACCACUUCCAGUCUACAAGAAGCCACUCCCACCUCCAGUUCCAAUCUACAAGCCAGAGCCAAAACCACCAGUCUUCAAGCCUCCUCCGGUCCCAAUCUACAAGAAGCCACUCCCACCUCCAGUUCCAAUCUACAAGCCAGAGCCAAAACCACCAGUCUUCAAGCCUCCUCCGGUCCCAAUCUACAAGCCAAAACCACCAGUCUUCAAGCCUCCUCCGAUCCCAAUCUACAAGAAGCCACUCCCACCUCCAGUUCCAAUCUACAAGCCAGAGCCAAAACCACCAGUCUUCAAGCCUCCUCCGGUCCCAAUCUACAAGAAGCCACUCCCACCUCCAGUUCCAAUCUACAAGCCAGAGCCAAAACCACCAGUUUUCAAGCCUCCUCCGGUCCCAAUCUACAAGCCAAAACCACCAGUCUUCAAGCCUCCUCCGGUCCCAAUCUAUAAGAAGCCACUCCCACCUCCAGUUCCAAUCUACAAGCCAGAGCCAAAACCACCAGUUUUCAAGCCUCCUCCGGUCCCAAUCUACAAGCCAAAACCACCAGUCUUCAAACCCCCUCCUGUUCCAGUCUACAAACCAAAGCCAAAACCACCAAUCUACAAGCCUCUCCCACCUCCUGUUCCCAUCUCCAAGCCUCUCCCUCCAAUCCCAAAGAUCCCUCCAUUUUAUAAGAAGCCAUUGCCCC